AGCAGAGAUGCUUUGGUGCCUUCGGGAACUGUGAGACAGGUGCUGCAUGGCUGUCGUCAGCUCGUGUUGUGAAAUGUUGGGUUAAGUCCCGCAACGAGCGCAACCCUUAUCCUUUGUUGCCAGCGGUUCGGCCGGGAACUCAAAGGAGACUGCCAGUGAUAAACUGGAGGAAGGUGGGGAUGACGUCAAGUCAUCAUGGCCCUUACGACCAGGGCUACACACGUGCUACAAUGGCAUAUACAAAGAGAAGCGACCUCGCGAGAGCAAGCGGACCUCAUAAAGUAUGUCGUAGUCCGGAUUGGAGUCUGCAACUCGACUCCAUGAAGUCGGAAUCGCUAGUAAUCGUAGAUCAGAAUGCUACGGUGAAUACGUUCCCGGGCCUUGUACACACCGCCCGUCACACCAUGGGAGUGGGUUGCAAAAGAAGUAGGUAGCUUAACCUUCGGGAGGGCGCUUACCACUUUGUGAUUCAUGACUGGGGUGAAGUCGUAACAAGGUAACCGUAGGGGAACCUGCGGUUGGAUCACCUCCUUACCUUAAAGAA
This 544-nucleotide ribosomal RNA is filed under the name Klebsiella pneumoniae. RNAcentral's name for it is "bacterial SSU rRNA". It matches the Rfam family "Bacterial small subunit ribosomal RNA", at positions 999 to 1533 of the family's 1533-position model. The record is from RNAcentral. Lineage: Bacteria; Pseudomonadati; Pseudomonadota; Gammaproteobacteria; Enterobacterales; Enterobacteriaceae.